GUAGGUGGCAAGCGUUGUCCGGAAUUAUUGGGCGUAAAGCGCGCGCAGGCGGUUCUUUAAGUCUGAUGUGAAAGCCCACGGGCUCAACCGUGGAGGGUCAUUGGAAACUGGAGAACUUGAGUACAGAAGAGGAAAGCGGAAUUCCACGUGUAGCGGUGAAAUGCGUAGAGAUGUGGAGGAACACCAGUGGCGAAGGCGGCUUUCUGGUCUGUAACUGACGCUGAGGCGCGAAAGCGUGGGGAGCAAACAGGAUUAGAUACCCUGGUAGUCCACGCCGUAAACGAUGGGUGCUAAGUGUUAGGGGGUUUCCGCCCCUUAGUGCUGCAGCUAACGCAUUAAGCACUCCGCCUGGGGAGUACGGCCGCAAAGGCUG
Molecule: ribosomal RNA, 373 nt
Filed under: uncultured organism
Description: partial 16S ribosomal RNA
Rfam family: Bacterial small subunit ribosomal RNA
Source: RNAcentral